RNAcentral lists this ribosomal RNA (443 nucleotides) under uncultured bacterium. RNAcentral describes it as "partial 16S ribosomal RNA". It matches the Rfam family "Bacterial small subunit ribosomal RNA", at positions 338 to 795 of the family's 1533-position model. The record is from RNAcentral.
CCUACGGGAGACAGCAGUGGGGAAUAUUGGGCAAUGGAGGAAACUCUGACCCAGCAACGCCGCGUGAAUGAAGAAGGCCUUCGGAUUGUAAAGUUCUUUUCUCAGGGAAGAAGAAAGUGACGGUACCUUAGGAAUAAGCCUCGGCUAACUACGUGCCAGCAGCCGCGGUAAUACGUAGGGGGCAAGCGUUAUCCGGAAUGACGGGGGGUAAAGGGGGUGUAGGCGGGGAGGCAAGUCAGGAGCGAAAGCCCAGGGCCCAACCUAGGGACUGCUCCUGGAACUGUGGGGCUGGAGUGCAGGAGGGGCAGGCGGAAUUCCUGGUGUAGCGGUGAAAUGCGUAGAUAUUAGGAGGAACACCGGUGGCGAAGGCGGCCUGCUGGACUGCAACUGACGUUGAGGCACGAAAGCGUGGGGAGCAAACAGGAUUAGAUACCCUGGUAGUC